This is a long non-coding RNA of Brassica napus (rape), 2332 nucleotides long. RefSeq lists it as uncharacterized. Lineage: Eukaryota; Viridiplantae; Streptophyta; Magnoliopsida; Brassicales; Brassicaceae. The record is from RefSeq and is a predicted model, not a curated record. The transcript is spliced from 5 exons.
GACCGUGAAAAAAGAUUGGGCUGAUAUGUUCUUCUGGUUUAAGCGGCCCGACGGCCCGUAAUCGAAAACCCUAAGUUUGAUUACGCAAAAAUGGAGUUCGUCUCUACUCUUGCGCCUUCAUCGAGAACAUCGACAGAGGAAGCUAGGGGUUCGUCAUCUCCCCCAGAUCCGACCAUGUCAAACAAGCAUGGAUGUUCUGGAAGGAACCUCGAGUCAGAUCUUCAUAAUCAACUUUUGUGUCGUUCACAGUUCCCGUCGUUACGCUUGCUUUUGACCUCCUAUGAUCUGUUACGCAGCGGUGGAUCUUCACUUAUAAAAAGGGGAGACUGCACCUUUAUGAAAAUCACCCUCCCGGUUGCUAAUAUCAGCAAAACCUCAUCUUCUUCGAUUUCAUAGCUUAGCCUUUCAUGCUCACUGAUUUGAAGGCCAUCGGUGUUCUUCCACUGUGGUGGUGUGACUUCAGCUUCUGGGAAGCGAGAAACGUGAAAGGAGGCGUCGAGCUAAUGGGCUUGGACAUGCUUAUCCUCGACUCUAAAGGAGCAACCCUCAUACCGCCACCGUCUCACGGCUUACCGGCAUCUUUUUAAGGCGGAUUUGAUGUAACUCGCUGCAAUCAGAAUUACAUGCUCUCUAACUCACCUCUACUGAUACGGUUCAGCGGUUCAACCGAAUUUGAAGAGAUACAGUUCUACCAAUUCCUAAAGAACGCUCAAGUUCCGUAAUCACAGUGAGGUACUUAGGCUGGCCAACAAGAACACACACCUUAUCUGCGAGCUCACAGCUGUGAAGAGUAUUGUGAGUGACCCUACACAAGGAAAACAUCGUGUCAUGACCGGAGGUCUCCAGCUGCUCCCAGUUAUGAUGAUGUUGCAAGAAGCAUAAACCUCAAGAUUGUUGGAGGUGCUCAGUCAUGUUUUGGCAACAAUUAAAAUCGAUAGUGAUGUUUCUCUGACUUUGAGUUUGUUCCACUCGCAACUCUCAAGCUCUAUCGUUUCACAAGCACCUGGAAGGCUUCUGUGUUGAUCUAAUAGUUGUUGCAACAAGCGUAAACCCCCAAGAUUGUUGGAGAACAACAUAGACACCAAGAACAGAUUAACAGAAAUAAAACUAAACACAAACUCAGACUUGGACAAUAGAACGAAUCGACUACAAGAGGAGCAGCUAAUUAGAAAAGAUGCACCAGAGUUGGAACCUAUGCUUGCCGCAAAAUCAAACCUGCAGUUAUAACGAGGACUGAACCCGGUAGAGUAUGGCGAUCCCGAUGAUCAGUCCUUAAAGAUCCAGGUUGUCAAGAACAGCUCGUGCAGCCCGCCUAAUCCGCAGCCUCCACGAACAAACAGCAUCCUUCGCAACCGAGUGCACCCGCUCACACCAAGUCGAGCUUUAUUUGGAGAAGAAACCACCAAGAGCCUCCACAGAUUAUCGGACCUACAUCAAGAAAACAGAACGAGCAAGCGGGCUCUGAACGUGCCUCCACCAAAGGAAGAAGCCGUGGUUGACAAGGCCGACGACUCUCCACCUCGCACAGGCACCGCGACGGAGAACCCGUAACGGACCUUCACGAUUUCGAACCGAAAUCAACCCCUGGAAGCCCCCGCGAGAUAGACUGACCGGUCUAACAAGGAACACCUGCGGAGAACACCAAGACACGCAGAGAAACACCGCAAUGCCACCGCCUGGAGAAACCGAGAAGCGCCUUCAACCAAGCGAGUCUUCUCACCCACGCCGAGAACGGAAGGUAGAGGAAGCAGAGGAUGGAGACGGAUCUACUUCCGGAAUCCAGAUCUGACGCCAGAUCGAGACUUCCACGACCACACCCGACCGAAGGAACCUCACAUCCACUCCUCCUCCACGCUUCUACGGAGUUCCGAGAGAGACAGCACCAGAUCUGGAACCGCGGUGGCGCAAGCCCCCAGAACACUGAGAAAGGAAGCAAGAAGAGGGAGGGAGAGGAGAGGAGAGGCGAGAAAGAAGAGAGCAGCAACGGGAGGGGGCGGACCGGAGCCGAGGAGGCCGCCGACCACCCAACGAGAUCUGCAACUAGGGUUUUUUUUUUUUUUUUUUAGAGAGAGAAGUAGAAGAGGUAAUUUUAUCAUCAUCAUCUGGUUUUUGUUAACUGUGAAUUACUUUACUGCUUCUUGGAACAAGCAUAAACCCCAAAAGCGGAAAAACAUGAGUUUCACAGGUCAAUAUAUAGUUUAAUAGCUUAGUUUGGCAGUCUAUAUUUUUUGUUUAAAUAGGAGAAACGUGUAUUUUCACAUAUCUGUACAUUAUCAUGUGACAUCACUGCUAUAAUAUAAAUAAAAAAACAACGCAAAAUUUGUUAUACUUU